Molecule: ribosomal RNA, 253 nt
Filed under: uncultured bacterium
Lineage: Bacteria
Description: partial 16S ribosomal RNA
Rfam family: Bacterial small subunit ribosomal RNA
Source: RNAcentral
UACGUAGGGUGCGAGCGUUGUCCGGAAUUAUUGGGCGUAAAGGGCUCGUAGGCGGUUUGUCGCGUCGGGGGUGAAAACACACAGCUUAACUGUGUGCUUGCUUCCGAUACGGGCAGACUAGAGGUAUGCAGGGGAGAACGGAAUUCCUGGUGUAGCGGUGAAAUGCGCAGAUAUCAGGAGGAACACCGGUGGCGAAGGCGGUUCUCUGGGCAUUACCUGACGCUGAGGAGCGAAAGUGUGGGGAGCGAACAGG